AUUGAACGCUGGCGGCAGGCCUAACACAUGCAAGUCGAGCGGAUGAAGGGAGCUUGCUCCUGGAUUCAGCGGCGGACGGGUGAGUAAUGCCUAGGAAUCUGCCUGGUAGUGGGGGAUGACGUCCGGAAACGGGCGCUAAUACCGCAUACGUCCUGAGGGAGAAAGUGGGGGAUCUUCGGACCUCACGCUAUCAGAUGAGCCUAGGUCGGAUUAGCUAGUUGGUGGGGUAAAGGCCUACCAAGGCGACGAUCCGUAACUGGUCUGAGAGGAUGAUCAGUCACACUGGGACUGAGACACGGUCCAGACUCCUACGGGAGGCCGCAGUGGGGAAUAUUGGACAAUGGGCGAAAGCCUGAUCCAGCCAUGACGCGUGUGUGAAGAAGGUCCUCGGAUUGUAAAGCACUUUAAGUUGGGAGGAAGGGCAGUAAGUUAAUACCUUGCUGUUUUGACGUUACCAACAGAAGAAGCACCGGCUAACUUCGUG
Molecule: ribosomal RNA, 484 nt
Filed under: uncultured bacterium
Lineage: Bacteria
Description: partial 16S ribosomal RNA
Rfam family: Bacterial small subunit ribosomal RNA
Source: RNAcentral